Molecule: ribosomal RNA, 276 nt
Filed under: uncultured bacterium
Lineage: Bacteria
Description: partial 16S ribosomal RNA
Rfam family: Bacterial small subunit ribosomal RNA
Source: RNAcentral
CAAACUUUUGAUGGGCGACCGGCGCACGGGUGAGUAACACGUAUCCAACCUGCCUCAUACUCGGGGAUAGCCUUUCGAAAGAAAGAUUAAUACCCGAUGUUAUAGUCCUACCGCAUGAUGGGAUUAUUAAAGAAUUUCGGUAUGGGAUGGGGAUGCGUUCCAUUAGUUAGUUGGCGGGGUAACGGCCCACCAAGACAACGAUGGAUAGGGGUUCUGAGAGGAAGGUCCCCCACAUUGGAACUGAGACACGGUCCAAACUCCUACGGAAGGCAGCAG